RNAcentral lists this unclassified non-coding RNA (4795 nucleotides) under Hevea brasiliensis (rubber tree). The record is from RNAcentral. Lineage: Eukaryota; Viridiplantae; Streptophyta; Magnoliopsida; Malpighiales; Euphorbiaceae.
GAGAAAUUGAUUCUCUAAUAAUUUCUUUAGAAAAUAACUCUGCUUUCGCACAACAUGACCAAGGAUGAAUAACAGCGACAGACACAAAAUUUACUACAUAACUGGAGCAGUGUUUCAAUGUCAAUGUCAAGUACUCAAGCUCGUCACAGCCCCAGUCACCCCAACAACCCAAAUGUGUCAUAGCCUUUCUCUUUCAUGACAUUCAAUUUGGAAUUUCUCUCUUGUGAAACUCCAUUCUCAUCAGUCUCUUCAGCGCGGGAAUUAAAAAAGGUACAUGAUUAAAGAAGCAAACCUUAGCCAAACCAAGAACUUCUUGCAGCCGCAACAUCUCAACUGUUGCCAAGUGAACCAGCUGAGACUAUAUCGAAGCAAAAAACAUGAAAUUUCUUCAAGCAACAAAUCUUUGUUGCAACCUGCAACCUUCAAAUGAAAAUAUGUUACAGCGACUAUUGGUUGGUGCAAAAGAACUAUUGGCAGUAUAUAGUGACAUGAAUUAGGGUAUCCAAAACUUUUGGCAAAGGCCCCACUUGGAGGUUUUAACAACUCAAAACCACACAUUAGUAUCGCAAAAUCAACAUCCAUCAAAGCCAUCAAUUAAAUUCAGUUUCUAGAAACAUACACAUUGGUAUUAUAGCAUAUCAUUAACCAGAGAGUCGGAGACAUUGUCUCUAUUCUAGAUAAAUUUCUCUUUGUAAAAUUCUUAAAAAAAGAGACAAAUUAAAGCAUACAAUUAACUAACAAGCAAAAACCUAAAAAAUGUGCAAUAAUUACUUAUGGACUCACUUCACUAAAAUGGUUCAUAAACCAAGAAAAAUGAAACCGUAACUGCAUUUAAAAACUCUAGCACCUGUUUGUAAGCAUCAGAAAGACAAAAGGUCAAGGUUUAGUAGUUGCUUUAUUGCAUUCCCCACAUUGCUCAACUUAGAAGUAGGCAAUGCCUUCAAAAAUUACUGAUGUUUCUUGUUAGUCAGCAAACAAUUUGUAGUGAAGCAAUGGGGGGCUAAUAGUAAUACUGCCAAUAGCAGGUUGAAAACUUCCAUGAAGUUCUGGUGGUGGUUUCUAUUUACAAGUAGUGACUUUUUACAAGGAUCUUAUUGUGGUAUGUGCUCCAGUUCUUUCUCUUUUAGGGAAAAAAUUGUAAAAUCUUGCAUCUAAAAUUGGUUGGGUAAUUUGAACUAGGCCUAUGGAGUUUUCGGUGUGAACCGAACCGAGCCAUUUCAGUUCAAUCGGUUCGGUUUUUUAGUUCUAUCGGUUCGGUUUUUUAGUUCUAUCGGUUCGGUUCAGUUUGAAAUUUUUAAUAUGUUCAGUUUUCGGUACGGUUUUUUAUCGAUUUAAACCAAUAAAACCGAAUAGUGAAAUGACCCAAAUAAUUUUUCAGCCCAAGAUGCAUAAGCCUCAAGGCCCAAGAUGUAUAAGCCCGGCCCAAGAUGCAUAAGAUCAGCCUAAAGAAUAAAAAUUCUAAUAUUUUCGGUUUAAUACAACUGAACCGAACCGAACCAUUAUUUUUCAGUUUGAUUCGGUUCGGUUAUCUUUAGGUGAUCGGUUCGGUUCGGUUUACAUUUUUAAGCGAUUCGGUUUUUCGGUUUUUGAUAUUCAGUUCGAUUCGAAACCAAACUGAUCGAAUGCCCUCCCCUACCCAAGUAUAUUGGAAGCAAUGAAUCUGCUGGCUUUAGCUUAUUUUCAUAAUGCUUACUUCCUAAGAAUUAAAACAUGAAGAUCUCAACAAUUGCCAGCAACAAUGACUAAGAAUAAUAAGCUGCAGGAUGUAUUGCACUUUCAUUUUUCUGACUAGCAUGUAAAUAAUCUGAGUCAAAAGCUGACUAAGUUCUUCUCCCUCAAAGCUUUCGACAGUGUCCUUCAAACUUAACUCGAGAGGAGUAAACUUGAUGCCUAGACUCUCUGCUCUCUUUUUGGAUACUUGAUAUUUUGUCGUGGGUGGCUUGUCAUCUGCACAUUCUUUAGGAUGAUUGAGCUCAGGGAAAAGCUUGCGUAAAAUCUCCACAGCCUCAGAAGAGCGUGCAACUGCCCCAACUAAACAAUAUCUUCCAGAAGCUGAAUGAUUCUCAAAGGCAUAAACAUGUGCGUUGGAAACAUCUCUGACAUCAACCCAUCUGAAUGUUGUAUUCGGAUAUUUUUCUGCUAACCAUCUGAAUGUUGUAUUUGGAUAUUUUUCUGCUCCUGCAUAAAAAAAUCUCAACUACUUGCAUCAUAAAUAAUUGCAUGCAAAAAAUAUAUAUAUAUAGUAAGAAUGAGGUGAUUACCUUCUGGCAGAAUUAAGGAAUCUCAAGGAUUGGUUAUAUUUUCUUAUUGAGAAGCAUAGUAAAAUAAGUUAAAUUUUUAGUUUUCAAGUAGUUUUCAAUUUUCCUGGCUUAUUCUAAUAUCUUUCUUAUAGUUGGCCUCAACUAAUUUGUGAUUGAGGCUUAGUUGAGCUAAGUAUCUAAUAUGUUUUUCAUUGGUGUUUUUUUUAACUCAAAUUUUUAUUGAGUCAUUAGCAUUGUCACCAUUGUGGAUUUUGUGCCCCAAGUAAGGUAAGUUAGGACAUUCUCACCCCCCCUUGUUAGUUUCCUAGAACCAUGUUCUUUUUUUAUCAGAACAUUUCACAAAAUUCUAGAAUCCUCAUUGCAUGGCAUCCAUACGAGUUUCUAUGUCCAAACAUCUGAUCUAUCAUGCAUAUAGAUGUAAAUUUUCAAAAGAAAAGUUGCAGACAAUGGAGUGGUGAAGACCACAUGGGACAGCCGCCAGGUUAUGAUCAUGACAUUAAGUAGACAUUUUUGGAGUAGAUUCAAAUCCAAUUUAUUAUUUAAGAGCUGAUAAAAAUAGUAGUUAUUUGAAAGUGAAAAUGACCAGUAGAAGGUUGCUAGAUUUCACAUUCACAUAUCUAAACAUGGGAAAGAGAAGUAUAUGUGUGAUUUCUGAUAAAGUUCUAUGUAUGAGUUUGUUUUUGUUGCUUCAGUUGAAUUGAUUAAGGACAGAUGUCCCACUAUUUUGAUGUUCAUGUUAUUUAUUUUUGUCAAGGUGAGUAAAAAUUAGCCAAAAAUAAAGAUUAGCCAGGUAUAAUGUCACUAAAAUCUUGGCAGUAUCCAUCAAAAAGUAUUUCACGUGAGAAGAAGAAUAUUUUGCUAACAGAUGAAAAAUUGCCAUUUACAAGGUUCAGAAUGGACUCUGUACUAGUAUUAAGUGUUGGCUGUAAGAGAGGACCAAUCACCAAUCCAGGAUUUAUUGCAACCAUGUCUAUUCCAUUCUCUUUUGUAAACUUCCAAGCAGCUUCUUCUGCUAAGGUUUUUGAGAGCAUGUACCGUAACUUUGAUUUCUCACAAAUAUCAGGAUCUGAAAACCAUGUCUCAUCAAUUAUUACAUCAGGAGCAAGAGGUUUCCCAUUAAAUGCAACUGCUGCCAUGGAUGAUGUUAUAACCACCCCUUUGAUAGAAGGAACUUUAGUACAUGAUUUCAGAACGUUAAGUGUUCCCUUCAAAGCAGGAGCAAUAAGUUCUACCAGAAGAAGAAAAAAGAAUAAUAUCAUUGAGAUUAUUGAGGCUCUUUAUGACAUUGGGAAAAAGAACAUGCACAGUUACACACAAAUGGAUCAAAAUGCUGGCUCUUGCAAUGUCAAAACUGCAAUGGUCAAUUGGACUUCAGAUCCUUCAUCAAUGCAAAGUUUGGUGCAAAAUUGAAGGUACCUCAAGAAGCAUGCAGAAGUAUCCAUGAACAAUAACCAAAAAAUAGAAAAAAAAAAGAAAGAAGGUGAUCAUAUUUGAAUCAACUCAUUGACUAAUAAGCUUGUAUAGACAUAUGCCAACUUGAGAUUUUUGUCAAACGGGCCUCUUAAAAAUAUCAGCAAGCAUUUAAGGAAUUUCUAUUUUGAUUGCUACUUGAAAAAUUAACAUCGACAGCAGUAAAAAUACUCUCUAAAACUAAUUCACAACUGUGUAAUAGAAGGGAGAGAUCAGUAGCAGCAAAAUAAAAUGGAGAUGCUGUAUGGAAAACACAUUCACAUCCUUCAACCACAGGAUCAAAAGAUCCUUCAUCUAAUAAAUCUGCUUUGAAUAAUUGCAGUCUUUCUUUAGCUCCAUCAAGUACAAGAAAGUGUUCAGUUUUCUUUGCAUCAUCUGUGCCAUUAAUCGACAGAAUUCUUUCAAUAAUAUGGUAAAGAAUAUAUCUUACCAUGUGUAUUCAGUAAAAUUCUUCAGGAAUGAAUGCCUCAAAAAAGUACAACAUGUAUACUGCUGAACCUAACAGCAUAAAUGAGCUAACUGGGUAAUGGAGUAAGUUGAAUAGCCAAACUUUUCCUUUAAGAAAUAAGAAUAAUAUAUAUGCCCAAAUUUUAUAUAAGAAAAAGGAUCCAAGCAUGCAAACUGAUGAAGCAGAAGCCAUUUUACCUCUUCUAUCUAUCUGAUUGGCUGGCAUAAAACAAUAAUCAUGGCUAAGCUACCCAGAUUUAACAAUGAAUACUUCUACAUAUUUUUCACUUUACUUUAAUCUCUUGUUGUUUGGUUAUUAUUCACCUUCAAUAUAAUUUCAAAUAAGAUAGACCAUACAUUAACUUCAAACACUCUGUUAAUUUUUGUAUCCCAACAAAAAUUAAGCUCAUGACCUAAAACCUUUGGAGAAAUUAUCAUCAAAUAGAAUUUCUCCAAACUUCUACACGUUUCAAUUUCUCUUUCCCUUAACUAUUUUGAGAUUUAUAUUAGUCAGACAAGCACUAGUUUAGCUCAUGACCUCAAAUUCAGACUUUUCACUUAUACAUCAAGAUUCAAAUUAAAGAAAAAAAAAAACCCAGUCCAACAAAUUACUACUU